This 218-nucleotide unclassified non-coding RNA is filed under the name Hevea brasiliensis (rubber tree). The record is from RNAcentral. Lineage: Eukaryota; Viridiplantae; Streptophyta; Magnoliopsida; Malpighiales; Euphorbiaceae.
UUCGUGGUCUGCUUUGAUGUCCGGGUAUGCUCAGAACGGGCAACCCAAUGAAGCUGUCAAAAUUUUCCAUGAAAUGUUGUCGAUGAAUGUUAGGCCAGAUGAGUUUAUAAUGGUAAGUUUGAUGUGUGCGUGUUCCCAGUUAGGUCGUCUGGACCUGGCAAACUGGGUAGAACAUUAUAUGAGCCAAAAUUCAUUUGAUCUUAAUCAAGUUCAUAUAG